UACAGAGGGUGCAAGCGUUAAUCGGAUUUACUGGGCGUAAAGGGCGCGUAGGUGGUUGUUUAAGUGAGAUGUGAAAGCCCCGGGCUCAACCUGGGAACUGCAUCUUAUACUGGGCAACUGGAGUACAUGAGAGGGUAGUGGAAUUUCCGGUGUAGCGGUGAGAUGCGUAGAUAUCGGAAGGAACACCAGUGGCGAAGGCGGCUACCUGGCAUGAUACUGACACUGAGGCGCGAGAGCGUGGGGAGCAAACAGG
This 253-nucleotide ribosomal RNA is filed under the name uncultured bacterium. RNAcentral describes it as "partial 16S ribosomal RNA". It matches the Rfam family "Bacterial small subunit ribosomal RNA", at positions 524 to 776 of the family's 1533-position model. The record is from RNAcentral.